UAAAGGACAGGAAGAAAGCACAAGGGGGAGGUGAUUCAGGGUCUGAGGACAAAGAGAGCUUUCCCUCACCCUUCCUGGAGAGUGGGCCAAGGGGGAAGCUUACUUCCAAUUAUAUGUUGCUACAUGAGGCUGUACUGGUGGCGGGGAUUCAAAUAACACAGUGGUGCUUAGAAACGUGUAAGUGUCCAGACUGUUUGAGGUGGUCCAAAAGGGAGGAGAAGACUGCCCUGGCACAUUUGGGUUUUACCAUUCACAGGAGGUUCUCAAGAAUUAGCUCUCUUGCAGUAUGUGGAUGAGAUACAAGAUGGCAACACCCAACGUAUCUGAUUAAUGAGUUUCCCCUUUGCUCUGCAAUUGAGAAAACUCUGCCAAAGACUUCACCCCGGCUGGCUUUUAAGACUACAGUACCCAUGUGAAAAAGGUAUGAUGUGCAGUUAUUGGGAUUUCUAUUUUAUGUUGAAAGGAUCCUGUGAGGUUUUGGUGUUUAGAAAGACCUUGUUCACUGUGGUCCAAAAGUUAGUGUUGGGAUAAUGGUGAAUGUACAGUAAUGAUGGAGAGCUCAUGAGAGGGAUUAGGACAGCGGGUAACUGCAGAACUAAUGUGAAUUGAUAAGAAUUGACUAACUUUCAUACCAAAAACCCCGGUGGAAAAAAAAGCUUUUUUUUUUUAUGCUAAGGCAAGAGGUUUAUCUGCAGAAAGCUUCACCAUGUGCAACAGGAGUAGAUGGUCCUAAUUUUUCCACUACUAAAUGACAAAUAAUGUCUAAAUCACCAGCUAAGUGUAAUACUGAAAACAUGGUCGGCUCAUUAUAUUCACUAGAGGAAUUUAAUUCUCGUAUAUAAGAAAACUUAGUAUCUUCAGUCAUUCAGACUUUCUAUAUUCUCUAGGGUGUCUCAGUUCUGUAAAGCUUUAACUGCAUCCAACUCUCCAGCCAUCAGUGUCUCUCAGGUGUCUGCUGUUUAAAUGGUGGCACUAGCUUGUCACCGUGGGAAAUUCAACUGGACAUUUGGAGAUUUGAGAGGGAAAUCCCACCAUGCCAACAAUAGUGCUCAUCUCUGGGGAAAGUAGCAUGUGACACCAUGUGACCAUGACUCAACACUUGGAGAAUAUAUUGGGUUAUAUGAUACCAUCACUUAUUCAUCUCUGGCUGAGAACAAAGAAAAUUGGAUAAAUCAAUGCACUUUUAUUUUAAAGUCUUAUAGCAAAAUUAAACAUGAUUUUUCUGAAAGACUUCAGACCUUCAGUGUGCAGUAAUUUAAGCUUUGGGCUUGGAUUUUACAGACUGGAGGAAACAUUCAUGAUCUUAAACAAAGUCUGUU
This 1319-nucleotide long non-coding RNA is filed under the name Chrysemys picta bellii (western painted turtle). Its description in RNAcentral is "lncRNA (ENSCPBG00000019160.1)". Lineage: Eukaryota; Metazoa; Chordata; Testudines; Emydidae. The record is from RNAcentral.